GACGAACGCUGGCGGCGUGCUUAACAAAUGCAAGUCGAACGGAAAGGCCCUGCUUUUGUGGGGUGCUCGAGUGGGGAACGGGUGAGUAACAAGGGAGUAACCUGACCUUGACUUUGGGAUAACUUCAGGAAACUGGGGGUAAUACCGGAUAGGAGUUCCUGCUGCAUGGUGGGGGUUGGAAAGUUUCGGCGGUUGGGGAUGGACGCGCGGCUAAUCAGCUCGUUGGGUGGGUGGUGGGUUACCAGGGCUUUGACUGGUAGCCGGCCUGGGGGGGUGACCGGCCACAUGAGGACUGAGAGACGGCGCAGACGCGUACGGGAGGCAGCGGUGGGGAGUAUGGCGGAGUGGGCGGAAGCCUGAGGCGACAACGCCGCGUGCGGGAUGACGGCCUUCUAGUUGUGAACCGCUGUCGCCGUUGACGAAGCGGGAGUGACGGUAAUGAGUAAGAAAGCACCGGCUAACUACGUG
RNAcentral lists this ribosomal RNA (468 nucleotides) under uncultured bacterium. RNAcentral's name for it is "partial 16S ribosomal RNA". It matches the Rfam family "Bacterial small subunit ribosomal RNA", at positions 28 to 507 of the family's 1533-position model. The record is from RNAcentral.